This 274-nucleotide ribosomal RNA is filed under the name uncultured bacterium. RNAcentral's name for it is "partial 16S ribosomal RNA". It matches the Rfam family "Bacterial small subunit ribosomal RNA", at positions 523 to 796 of the family's 1533-position model. The record is from RNAcentral.
AUACGGAGGGUGCAAGCGUUGUUCGGAAUCACUGGGCGUAAAGGGCGCGCAGGCGGUUUGGUAAGUCAGAUGUGAAAGCCCACGGCUCAACCGCGGAAGUGCAUUUGAAACUGUCAGACUUGAGUACUAGAGGGGAAAGUGGAAUUCCCGGUGUAGAGGUGAAAUUCGUAGAUAUCGGGAGGAAUACCGGUGGCGAAGGCGACUUUCUGGCUAGAUACUGACGCUGAGGCGCGAAAGCGUGGGGAGCAAACAGGAUUAGAAACCCUAGUAGUCC